Cynara cardunculus var. scolymus (artichoke) is the source of this 306-nucleotide long non-coding RNA. RefSeq lists it as uncharacterized. NCBI's taxonomy places the organism in Eukaryota, Viridiplantae, Streptophyta, Magnoliopsida, Asterales, Asteraceae. The record is from RefSeq and is a predicted model, not a curated record. The transcript is spliced from 3 exons.
CGCCGUCGCCUUCAUCAAAUUCUCUACCUAUUUCGCCAUCGCCUCCAUCGAUUUCUCAGCCGAGGUCCCGUCGUCGUGUCUCCAUCAUGAUUUUUCUCAAUUUGGUUUCGUUUAUAUACAUAAAUCAGGGGUAAGGAUAGCCAAGGUGAAGAGGUUAUUAAACCAUACACACCAACCACUCUAGAUGCCGAUGUUGGAUACUUUGAGUUGGUUAUUAAGAUGUAUCCACAAGGUAGGAUGUCCCACCAUUCCCGAGAGAUGCGUGAAGGUACAUUAACUCUCCAAUAAUUAUAUAUAAUGUGUGAG